AGUUUAUGUGCUUCUGCACCGCCCCUCGAUUAAACUUUACAAAAUAUGACUUCUAUUAAACCAGAAAAUAGCCAUGGAAGAAUAUUCAACUUUUACAAACAAGCAAAGAAAAAAAUUGAUGUAAAGAUUUGCAUUAACCCUGGGCUAAGUUAACCAGCCAUUGUUUAAACAAGUGGCCCCUAGCUGCAUUCCAACUGGAAGUAGUGACAAGAAUUAAUUUUUCCCAUGAACGCCUGCGAGAAAUGAUUUUUCCACGAGGGUUCCUCCUUUUCGCCUUGGCUUCGUUUAGUGGACGAAAGGUUGAUUAAAAGUUGAAAUAUUUUAAAGCUACAUUAAGGAAGUUAGAAAGCUGCUGAACGUGCCGAAGUUCUUGUCAAUUGUUGCGGAAACAUGGUUUACAAAUCGAAAUUCGUAUCUGCUCUUUUGCCUCUUCUUGUUGUGUUUGGGUCAUUCAUUCUAAGUAGUUCAACCGUUGAUGCAUCAGUUUCCGUCAGCGCUAGUGCAGAACCAACAUCUAAUUAUACAGCAACUCCAGGAUCGUCUGCUUCAAGUGUCCUCCCGUUGAUCAUUCUCGUUCAAAUGUUGUCCCUUAUUUUACCUGCUGUACUGUAUUAUAUGCGCUGAAAAUAAGACGUCAUUUAUGUCAAGAAAGAUGCCAAGAGAUUUUCAGUUGAAAGGCAACACGAACUUUAUUCCUUUUAUGAGUUUUAACUUUUGAUACGUUUUAAAGUUAGCGAAGAGUUCAAAAAAUUCAACGCAGUUUUGAAAGUAGAUUAUACUAGAAGUUCUUUUAGGCU
This is a long non-coding RNA of Dendronephthya gigantea, 797 nucleotides long. RefSeq lists it as uncharacterized. The transcript is spliced from 3 exons. NCBI's taxonomy places the organism in Eukaryota, Metazoa, Cnidaria, Anthozoa, Malacalcyonacea, Nephtheidae. The record is from RefSeq and is a predicted model, not a curated record.